RNAcentral lists this ribosomal RNA (305 nucleotides) under Salmonella enterica. RNAcentral's name for it is "bacterial SSU rRNA". It matches the Rfam family "Bacterial small subunit ribosomal RNA", at positions 547 to 851 of the family's 1533-position model. Lineage: Bacteria; Pseudomonadati; Pseudomonadota; Gammaproteobacteria; Enterobacterales; Enterobacteriaceae. The record is from RNAcentral. RNAcentral also lists the same sequence under 1 other name.
GGAAUUACUGGGCGUAAAGCGCACGCAGGCGGUCUGUCAAGUCGGAUGUGAAAUCCCCGGGCUCAACCUGGGAACUGCAUUCGAAACUGGCAGGCUUGAGUCUUGUAGAGGGGGGUAGAAUUCCAGGUGUAGCGGUGAAAUGCGUAGAGAUCUGGAGGAAUACCGGUGGCGAAGGCGGCCCCCUGGACAAAGACUGACGCUCAGGUGCGAAAGCGUGGGGAGCAAACAGGAUUAGAUACCCUGGUAGUCCACGCCGUAAACGAUGUCUACUUGGAGGUUGUGCCCUUGAGGCGUGGCUUCCGGAG